GUUUUAAUAAUUUAAGAAUGAAAUAUUGGCCUUGUAAACCAAAAAUAAGAAACCUUUUAAAACU
This 64-nucleotide transfer RNA is filed under the name Geoscapheus rugulosus. RNAcentral's name for it is "tRNA-Thr". The record is from RNAcentral. Lineage: Eukaryota; Metazoa; Arthropoda; Insecta; Blattodea; Blaberidae.